Molecule: ribosomal RNA, 584 nt
Filed under: uncultured bacterium
Lineage: Bacteria
Description: partial 16S ribosomal RNA
Rfam family: Bacterial small subunit ribosomal RNA
Source: RNAcentral
UGGGGAAUUUUGGACAAUGGGCGAAAGCCUGAUCCAGCAAUGCCGCGUGUGUGAAGAAGGCCUUCGGGUUGUAAAGCACUUUUGUCCGGAAAGAAAUCCUUGGCUCUAAUACAGUCGGGGGAUGACGGUACCGGAAGAAUAAGCACCGGCUAACUACGUGCCAGCAGCCGCGGUAAUACGUAGGGUGCAAGCGUUAAUCGGAAUUACUGGGCGUAAAGCGUGCGCAGGCGGUUUGCUAAGACCGAUGUGAAAUCCCCGGGCUCAACCUGGGAACUGCAUUGGUGACUGGCAGGCUAGAGUAUGGCAGAGGGGGGUAGAAUUCCACGUGUAGCAGUGAAAUGCGUAGAGAUGUGGAGGAAUACCGAUGGCGAAGGCAGCCCCCUGGGCCAAUACUGACGCUCAUGCACGAAAGCGUGGGGAGCAGACAGGAUUAGAUACCCUGGUAGUCCACGCCCUAAACGAUGUCAACUAGUUGUUGGGGAUUCAUUCCUUAGUAACGUAGCUAACGCGUGAAGUUGACCGCCUGGGGAGUACGGUCGCAAGAUUAAAACUUAAAGGAAUUGACGGGGUCAUAGCUGUUUCCU